This 498-nucleotide ribosomal RNA is filed under the name uncultured bacterium. RNAcentral's name for it is "partial 16S ribosomal RNA". It matches the Rfam family "Bacterial small subunit ribosomal RNA", at positions 28 to 507 of the family's 1533-position model. The record is from RNAcentral.
GACGAACGCUGGCGGCGUGCCUAAUACAUGCAAGUCGAACGAGAGCGACCGGUGCUUGCACUGGUCAAUCUAGUGGCGAACGGGUGAGUAACACGUGGGUAACCUGCCCAUCAGAGGGGGAUAACAUCCGGAAACGGAUGCUAAAACCGCAUAGGUCUUCGAACCGCAUGGUUUGAAGAGGAAAAGAGGCGCAAGCUUCUGCUGAUGGAUGGACCCGCGGUGCAUUAGCUAGUUGAUGAGGUAACGGCUCACCAAGGCCGUGAUGCAUAGCCGACCUGAGAGGGUGAUCGGCCACAUUGGGACUGAGACACGGCCCAAACUCCUACGGGAGGCAGCAGUAGGGAAUCUUCCGCAAUGGACGCAAGUCUGACGGAGCAACGCCGCGUGAGUGAAGAAGGUUUUCGGAUCGUAAAACUCUGUUGUUAGAGAAGAACAAGUGCUAGAGUAACUGUUAGCGCCUUGACGGUAUCUAACCAGAAAGCCACGGCUAACUACGUG